UACAGAGGGUGCAAACGUUGUUCGGAAUUACUGGGCGUAAAGCGCGUGUAGGCGGCUCUGCAAGUCAGGUGUGAAAUCCCACGGCUCAACCAUGGAAGUGCACUUGAAACUGCAGGGCUAGAGUCCUGGAGAGGAAGGUGGAAUGCUUGGUGUAGAGGUGAAAUUCGUAGAUAUCAAGCGGAACACCGGUGGCGAAGGCGGCCUUCUGGACAGUGACUGACGCUGAGACGCGAAAGCGUGGGGAGCAAACAGG
This 253-nucleotide ribosomal RNA is filed under the name uncultured bacterium. RNAcentral's name for it is "partial 16S ribosomal RNA". It matches the Rfam family "Bacterial small subunit ribosomal RNA", at positions 524 to 776 of the family's 1533-position model. The record is from RNAcentral.